RNAcentral lists this long non-coding RNA (418 nucleotides) under Panax ginseng (ginseng). RNAcentral's name for it is "long non-coding RNA (PGIN_LNC000555)". The record is from RNAcentral. Lineage: Eukaryota; Viridiplantae; Streptophyta; Magnoliopsida; Apiales; Araliaceae.
CACAGUUCUCGUUUAGUUCAUCACUAAAAGUACAGGAAGGAGUCUCUUUCUUCUUGAUCAUCUUCUUGCUAUUCCUUGAAAGAGAGCUCGUGAAGUGCACUUUCCUUUCUUAGGAUAACAGGAUUCGACAAAUUUAUUUGUUGAGAGUCACUUUGCAACUUUUUUUCCUUUUUUACCACAUUGCUGACCCGUCCUUUACAAGGAGAGGUCGCAAUAUCCUUAGUUUUCUUGCUGGUCGGAAGCUUACUGCCUUGCUCUAAUGUCAGCUGCCCUAUAUCACCUGGGCUUACUAUAAUAUGAGUGCUACAUCGGGCUCCGCGCCUGUGUCUUCGGGGGGCGACAAGGAAGUCACAUCUUCAAGCUCCGGGAAUUGGCGGGGGUUUCUGAACUUGGCGUCGGAUAGGGAGGGAGAUUCCAC